AUUGAACGCUGGCGGCAUGCCUAACACAUGCAAGUCGAACGGCAGCACGGGAGCUUGCUCCUGGUGGCGAGUGGCGGACGGGUGAGUAAUGCAUAGGAAUCUGCCCAGUAGCGGGGGACAACUUGGGGAAACUCAAGCUAAUACCGCAUACGCCCUACGGGGGAAAGCGGGGGACCUUCGGGCCUCGCACUAUUGGAUGAGCCUAUGUCAGAUUAGCGUUGUUGGUGGGGUAAAGGCCUACCAAGGCGACGAUCUGUAGCUGGUCUGAGAGGACGAUCAGCCACACUGGGACUGAGACACGGCCCAGACUCCUACGGGAGGCAGCAGUGGGGAAUAUUGCACAAUGGGCGAAAGCCUGAUGCAGCAAUGCCGCGUGUGUGAAGAAGGCCUGCGGGUUGUAAAGCACUUUCAGUAGGGAGGAAACAGUAGCCGGUUAAUAUCCGGUUGCCUUGACGUUACCUACAGAAGAAGCACCGGCUAACUCUGUG
Molecule: ribosomal RNA, 488 nt
Filed under: uncultured bacterium
Lineage: Bacteria
Description: bacterial SSU rRNA
Rfam family: Bacterial small subunit ribosomal RNA
Source: RNAcentral